Molecule: ribosomal RNA, 447 nt
Filed under: uncultured bacterium
Lineage: Bacteria
Description: bacterial SSU rRNA
Rfam family: Bacterial small subunit ribosomal RNA
Source: RNAcentral
GUCCAGACUCCUACGGGAGGCAGCAGUGGGGAAUAUUGCACAAUGGGGGAAACCCUGAUGCAGCAACGCCGCGUGAGUGAAGAAGUAUUUCGGUAUGUAAAGCUCUAUCAGCAGGGAAGAAGAUGACGGUACCUGAGUAAGAAGCCCCGGCUAACUACGUGCCAGCAGCCGCGGUAAUACGUAGGGGGCAAGCGUUAUCCGGAUUUACUGGGUGUAAAGGGAGCGUAGACGGUGAGACAAGUCUGAAGUGAAAGCCCGGGGCUCAACCCCGGGACUGCUUUGGAAACUGCCUGACUGGAGUGCUGGAGAGGCAAGCGGAAUUCCUAGUGUAGCGGUGAAAUGCGUAGAUAUUAGGAAGAACACCGGUGGCGAAGGCGGCUUGCUGGACAGUAACUGACGUUGAGGCUCGAAAGCGUGGGGAGCAAACAGGAUUAGAUACCCGUGUAC